This 71-nucleotide transfer RNA is filed under the name Toxoplasma gondii CAST. RNAcentral describes it as "tRNA-OTHER". It matches the Rfam family "tRNA". Rfam says of the family: Transfer RNA (tRNA) molecules are approximately 80 nucleotides in length. Their secondary structure includes four short double-helical elements and three loops (D, anti-codon, and T loops). Further hydrogen bonds mediate the characteristic L-shaped molecular structure. tRNAs have two regions of fundamental functional importance: the anti-codon, which is responsible for specific mRNA codon recognition, and the 3' end, to which the tRNAs corresponding amino acid is attached (by aminoacyl-tRNA synthetases). tRNAs cope with the degeneracy of the genetic code in two manners: having more than one tRNA (with a specific anti-codon) for a particular amino acid; and 'wobble' base-pairing, i.e. permitting non-standard base-pairing at the 3rd anti-codon position. The record is from RNAcentral. Lineage: Eukaryota; Apicomplexa; Conoidasida; Eucoccidiorida; Sarcocystidae.
GCCUUCUUAGCUUAGGGGCAGAGCAUUCGCUUGUAAGCGAAAGGUCGCCGGUCCGAUUCCGGCAGAAGGCU